GGGCCUGUAGCGCAGUUGGGAGCGCAUCACAUUCGCAUUGUGGGGGUCGAGAGUUCGAAUCUCUUCAGGUCCA
Molecule: transfer RNA, 73 nt
Filed under: Firmicutes bacterium CAG:137
Lineage: Bacteria; Bacillati; Bacillota
Rfam family: tRNA
About the family: Transfer RNA (tRNA) molecules are approximately 80 nucleotides in length. Their secondary structure includes four short double-helical elements and three loops (D, anti-codon, and T loops).
Source: Rfam by way of RNAcentral